This 486-nucleotide unclassified non-coding RNA is filed under the name plant metagenome. RNAcentral's name for it is "partial contains small subunit ribosomal RNA, internal transcribed spacer 1, and 5.8S ribosomal RNA". The record is from RNAcentral.
UUUCCGUAGGUGAACCUGCGGAAGGAUCAUUACCGUAUUUAUAUAAAAAAUACAAGAGAGAGAAUCCGUAUGAGUAUUAAACACUGCAGUUAAUAUGAGCAGUAUAGUACUCAUGGAGAGUGGAGUUUGGUGCUCACCUAUACCUCAACUCGUAAUGUCAAGUUUAUUGAAUGAGAGUGGUGAGGCAGUAUUACGACCAUUGUUGUCAUAUACUGUGUGGAAGAAAUUGGUGUGGGACAGGGUUUUACCUGAGCCAAUUUAUGUAUAAACAAGUUGAAAUGAAUUUAGGUAGACUUUCUUAAUAAAGAAAAAGUCUUCAAAGAACAUGGUGUUUCGCCUAAAUUCACUUGUCUAUGUGUUGUGCUCAAGUGUACCCUAGCUCUUGCUGAGCUUAAAACAGCAAAUGUGUAAAAGUGUAUGUUGAAACAUAAUAAAAAUAUAUAAAAAGAGAAAAAUCAACCUCGAGUGGUGGAUCACUCGGCUCGU